UGAGCUGCUUGUAAAUUUUGGAGAUUAAUCCUUUGUCAGUUGCUUCAUUUGCAAAUAUUUUUUUCCCAUUCUGAGGGUUGUCUUUUUGUCUUGUUUAUGGUUUCCUUUGCUGUGCAAAAGGUUUUAAAUUUCAUUAAGUCCCAUUUGUUUAUUUGUGUUUUUAUUUCCAUUUCUCUAGGAGGUGGGUCAGAAAGGAUCUUGCUGUGAUUUAUGUCAUGGAGUGUUCUGCCUAUGUUUUCCUCUAAGAGUUUUAUAGUGUCUGGCCUUACAUUUAGGUCUUUAAUCCAUUUUGAGUUUAUUUUUGUGUACGGUGUUAGGGAGUGUUCUAAUUUCAUUCUUUUACAUGUAGCUGUCCAGUUUUCCCAGCACCACUUAUUGAACAUGCUGUCGUUUCUCCAUUGUGUGUUCUUGCCUCCUUUAUCAAAAAUAAGGUGACCAUAUGUGCGUGGGUUUAUCUCUGGGCUUUCUGUUGUGUUCCAUUGAUCUAUAUUUCUGUUUUUGUGCCAGUACCAAACUGUCUUGUUUACUGUAGCUUUGUAGUAUAGUCUGAAGUCAGGGAGCCUGCUUCCUCCAGCUCCGUUUUUCUUUCUCCAGAUUGCUUUGGCUAUUCAGGGUCUUUUGUGUUUCCAUACAAAUUGUGAAAUUUUUUUGUUCUAGUUCUGUGAAAAAUGCCAGUGGUAGUUUGAUAGGGAUUGCAUUGAAUCUGUAGAUUGCUUUGGGUAGUAGAGUCAUUUUCACAAUGUUGAUUCUUCCAAUCCAAGAACAUGGUAUAUCUCUCCAUCUGUUUGUAUCAUCUUUAAUUUCUUUCAUCAGUGUCUUUUUUAAAAAAAAUUAAUUAAUUAAUUUAUUUUUGCCGCGUUGGGUCUUCGUUGCUGCACGCGGGCUUUCUCUAGUUGCAGCGAGCGGGGGCUACUCUUUGUUGCAGUGCAUGGGCUUCUCAUUGCGGUGGCUUCUCUUGUUGUGGAGCACAGGCUCUAGGUGUGCGGGCUUCAGUAGUUGUGGCUCGCGGGCUCUAGAGCGCAGGCUCAGUAGUUGUGGCGCACGGACUUGGUUGCUUUGCGGCAUGUGGGAUCUUCCUGGACCAGGGCUUGAACCUGUGUCCCCUGCAUUGGCAGGUGGAUUCUUAACCACUGUACCACCAGGGAAGCCCCAUCACUGUCUUAUAGUUUUCUGCAUACAGGUCUUUUGUCUCCUUAGAUAGGUUUAUUCCUAGGUAUUUUAUUCUUUUUGUUGCAAUAGUAAAUGGUAGUGUUUCCUUAAUUUCACUUUCAGAUUUUUCAUCAUUAGUGUAUAGGAAUGCAAGAGAUUUCUGUGCAUUAAUUUUGUAUCCUGCUACUUAACCAAAUUCAUUGAUUAGCUCUAGUAGUUUUCUGGUAGCAUCUUUAGGAUUCUCUAUGUAUAGUAUCAUGUCACCUGCAAACAGUGACAGCUUUACUUCUUCUUUUCCGAUUUGGAUUCCUUUUAUUUCUUUUUCUUCUCUGAUUGCUGUGGCUAAAACUUCCAAAACAAUGUUGAAUAAUAGUGGUGAGAGUGGGCAGCCUGUCUUUGCCCUUAUGUAUUUUCCCAGAUUCAUACUUCAAAUCCCCAUGUCUGUAACACCCAGAUCCCCAAGAGUUAGUGAUUUCUGGAAUCCUGCCCAGAGCACUUGCCAGUGUCCCCUUGCUCUUCUGUUACCUCUCCCCCUACCCCGAAGGGGACAGAAGAGCACAGGGGAGCCCCAGGCAGGGACUCAUCUUGGGGAGGAGGGCUGGAACCUGUCUCUGAAAUGCUUUAAUUAUUAAAGUAAUACCCACCCCCAAAACCCAUUGUCCCGGAGGCUGGGAAGGACAGGCUGUUUUAAGUGGCAGCUUUCUUUGUGGCAGAACCUGGAUCCCCCUACACACAACAUCCUGGGAGGUGAUCUUUGGUGAGAUGAGGGAAUGGUUGUGACCCCAGCUCUGCUGCAAGAGGCAUCUGUGUGGAUCUCCACACGGAGAUCCUGGAAGCACAGGUGUCCUCACUGGGAGAGAAAGGAGCAUUUGGUCCCCGGCUGCAGUGAGACAUCUCACAUUCUGCCCCCCUGUCCUCACCACAGAAAGGACAAGAAAUGAAGGCCUUCAAGUCCUAUGAAAAAGACAGGAACUGGUGAAAUCUGAGUAAGGUUUGUGGUCACCUGAGACGUUGUACAAACGUGCAUGUUCUGGUCUUGGUGAUGCACAAUAGUUAUGUAAGAUGCCACCACUGGGGAAAGCUGGUUGAGGCCAUGAGACCUCUUCUUUUUUUGCAACUUCUUGUGAAUCCACAAUUAUCUCAACAAAAAAGAUUUAAAAAAAAUGGCAGACCCACAGAACAGGAGAAAAUAUUUUCAAAUCAUAAUUCUGAUAAGGGACUUGUAUCUGGACUACAUAAAUAAAGAACUCUUACAAUUUGUCUUAGUUUGGGCUACUGUUAUAAAUUACCAUAGACUGGGUGGUUUAGCCAACAAUUAUUUAUUUCUCAUAGUUCUGGAAAGUCCAAGAUCAAGGUGCCCUCAGAUUUGAUGGCUUUUUAGUUAUGUCCUCACAUAACAUAAGACAGAUCUUAUUUGCUUCCUCUUUUUUUUUGGCUGUGUUGGGUCUUCGUUUUUGUGCGAGGACUUUCUCUAGUUGUGGCAAGCGGGGGCCACUCUUCAUUGUGGUGCGUGGGCCUCUCACUAUCGCGGCCUCUCUUGUUGCGGAGCACAGGCUCCAGACGUGCAGGCUCAGUAGUUGUGGCUCACAGGCCUAGUUGCUCCGCAACAUGUGGGAUCUUCCCAGACCAGGGCUUGAACCUGUGUCCCCUGCAUUGGCAGGCAGAUUCUCAAACACUGCGCCACCAGGGAAGCCCCCUUUGCUUCCUCUUUUAAAAGGGCAUUAAUUCCAUUGUAAGAGCUCCACCCUCAUGACCUUAUCCAACCCUAAUUAUCUUCCAAAGGCCCCAGCUCCAAAUUUCAUCACACUGGGGAUGAGAAUUUCCAUAUAUGGACUUUGACGGGAUACAAACAUUCAGUCCAUACAAUUCAAUAAUAAGAAGAAAAAUAACCCAAUUUUAAAAAUAGGCAAAGAAUCCAUAUAGAUAUUUCUCCAAAGAAGGUGUGCAAAUGGCCAAUAAGCAUAUAAAAAGAUGUUCCACACCAUUAUCCAUCGUGAGAAUGCAGAUCAAAACCAUGAGAUACCACCUCACCUGUAAUAAAGAAGAUAAUUCCAAGUGUUGGCAAGGGUGAAGAGAAAUUGGAUCUGUUAUGCAUUGCUGGUGAGAACGUAAAAUGGCACCGCCAUCAGCCUUGCAGUUCCUCAGAAAGUUGAACAUAGAUAGUUACCAGCAAUUCCAAUCCUAGGUAUACACCCAAGAGAAGUGAGAACAUAUGUCCCCCCAGACCACAAAUGUUUAUAGAAGCGUUACUUAUAGUAGACAAGAAGAAGAAAUAACUGAUGAAUGGAAAAAUAAAAUGCGGUAUAACCAUACAAUAAUAUAUAUUAUUUGGCAAUAAAAAGAAAUGAAAUUCUGAUACAUGGGUGAACCUUAAAAACAUAUGGUAAGUAGAAGAAGGCAGAAAAGACCUGUAUGAUUUUGUCAGGCUCACCUAGCUCAGCCUCGCCUGAGAACCGAGAAGUCCCCAGGGCACCCCUCACCCCUGUAGCCAUGUCACAUGCACGGCUGUGGGGUGGUGUGAAGAAAAGUGGUCCCUGGCCUCCCCUCCCUGCCAGCUGGGCUGGGAGGCCCUUCACUGGUGCCAGGAGUUUGUCCUGAGGCUGUUGUGGGGCCCUGAAGCUGACCCUCCCCAGGCCAUACUGACCUCCCACUCAGCUGCCUAAGCUGUGAGGCUUGGCCAGGCCUUUCUGGCUGGGAGGUCAGGCCAAGGAGAGCCUUGGACACUGUGUCCUGGCUUCUCAUCCUCCCUGGCCAGGGGCUGAGGAGGAAAUAACAGGUUCCUAGGACUCUCAUGAGGGCCCAGCUGACUGGGCUUCCUGCACGUGCUUGGCCACACCGCACAGAAUGUGGGGUCUUAGUUCCCUGACCAGGGAUCAAACCCGCCGUCCCUGCAGUGGAAGUGCGGAGUCUUAAUCGCUGGACCCGUAGGGAAGUCCCUACCAAGCACGUUUUAUACUAUGUCUUCUCAGCCAAAGAGAGGAAGCAGGGUUUCAAAGGCUCAUCAUGGGCUCUGGGUCCAUAAGUGUCCCAGUUUCCUGUGUCCCUGAUGUCUUAGGACUAGGUCUGAGGCCUUGGGGGUAUUGUCACUUCCUCCGUAUCCUGCCCAAGCCCCAAGGGCCUGCCCGCCCAGGCCUUUGUCUUCUCCCUCACAAGCUGUGUGGGUUUCAAGAGGCUUAGCAGGCUGGGGUGUUGGGGCAGCUGCCUGUCCUGUCCCUCUGCUUGGAUUAUCCAGGGCUGCCCAGGUCCUUGGGGCCAUGGCUGAUGCAUAUAGGUGGGCCCAGCAGGUCUACCCCAGCCUCCCUGCAGGCCUGGGCCUGUGUCCCUGGCUCAGGUGCCCUUUUCCCACCAUUUGCUUCUAGAAACUUACGUGCAUGGGCCUUAGGCCCCAAGGACCACAGGGGGCUUUGCUGACAGCUGUACAGAAUCUGAGCUCCAGCGUGCUCUGUCCACGCUCCCCAUGGCCAUGGUGCUGCAGGACCCAAGGCCCUUCUCCAGGUGCCCGCUGCACAACCCCUUCUCCAGGGGGCUGAGGGUGCAGAGGCUGAGGUCUCGGAGUGAGAGAGACCCGGGUUCCAAUCCCAGCUCUGCCUUUUGCUACUGUGCUGGAGUAACUGGUGUCUCAUCUGAGCCUCAGUUCUACCUCAUCCAGUUGGAAGGGCUAAAUAGAUGUAUACACAUAAAGCGCUGGCUUGCAGGAGGUGUUCAGCAAUGUCACCUUCACUUCCCACUCCUCUGGUCCUGGCUGGCUGCAGCCCAGUCCUGGGACAACAGCCGCCUCCCACUCCUCGUCUCAGCCCCACCUUGGGGAUCCAUUUCAGGCAUCACAGUACCAGGGAUGACCAGCAGGUGGCACCCACCCCAGCUCCCUGUCCCCAGGCUGCUGCUUUGCAGACCUCCAUGGAUUUCCUUACUCUUUUUUUCUGGUUUACUGUAGUUUAUUUUGGAUUAUACAAGAAGGGGCAUCAGAGUUGUGUCAGGACCCAGAGCUCUGGCUGAGAGCUAUCCUCUUCCCCCCACCCCACUGGUCCCAGGCAGGAAGAGCGGGCUUGCCUGCUCUCCUCCUCCCGCUACCCAUGUGGGCUUCCUGCAGUGCCUGGGGCCAGCCUCCCUGGUGUUUGCCCUGAUGUCCGCUUCUGGUGCUUAAGUUGCCUCCAGUUGGUGCCAGCAGGCUGAUAAGCCCUGGCUCAGGACUCCUCCCCGCCCCUGCUCUUCCUGGCACCCUUUGGAAUUGGUGUUAAACGCAGGCACACAGCCUCUGGUCCAGCCAAACCUGGCUGAGUAGCCUUGCGAGCUGACUGUGGGUGUGACUGCUUCAUACUGUCCAGGUUGCUGGGCGGACAAAUAGACAUGUCUGUGAGUGUCUCAUCUCCCCAAGGACUCUGGAUCUCCUGGGAACCCCACCAGUGGCUGAGAGCACCCAGCUCUCUUUCCCUGGCAUUAGUUUGUCCUAGGUCGGGAUAAGGGUCUAUGCAUUUGGCUACAGGCAAGGCCUACCGUAGCUGAGCCCAGGGAGCAAGGGAGAAAUAAGCUGUGGUCACGGGGGUGAGGGAACCAGCCCCACGUAGAGGCUGGAGCUCGGGCCUGCACAGCUUUCUAAGUGUGAGCAGAAGCUCCUGGACCAGCUGUCAAAUACAGAGUCCGGCCCCAGAGGCAAGGCCCAGGAAACUGCAUUUUCACAAGUCGUGGGGAGGCAGUUCUGCACACUUGGAAUUGAGGACUGCUGGGUCUGUGGUGCUGGGUGGGAGAUUCUUGUUUUUCUUGAAGCCUGCAGCUCUGAUGCCAACCUGAGAGCUUCAUUCUCUCUUUCCCUCUGCUUCUCUGAGGUUGCUGGUUAAGAAGGCAUGGGAAGGAACUGGAACAAUAAGCAAGUGUCCUCCCUACCCCAGGAGACCUCGGACCACAGAGGUCAGACCAUAAGGCAGCUCCCUAGACCCCUGGGGCCGGGCCAGCUGAGGGUGAGAGUUUCCACCUCUGGGCUGGAAGGCAGGUUGCAGGCGAACCUGGUGGUGCUUGGGAAGCAGCAGCAGCAGCUCAGAACCAACUGCGCCAACCUCCCUACUUCUCCCUCCACCCUUCUUCCUCUGAACCAGCACUGGCUGCAUUCACAUCAAAGAAAAAACAUUUCAGGAGCCAAUUCAUUUUUCUCAAAACAUAUAUUUAUGACUCCUCUUGGUACAUCUUUGAGCACCUCUGCCGGGAUCUCAGGAAUGUGUAGAACUCACUCCCACGCUGUACCCCACACCCCCCACUAGGACUUGGUGACCAGGCCCCGCACGGCUUGCGCGAUGGCGUCCUUGUCAAUGCCGAACAUCUUGAGCAGCUCUGUUGGUUUUCCGCUUCUUGGCACAUGGCUGACAGCCAGGCGAGUGACAGUGACGCCAGGCUCGCCCAUUACUGC
Molecule: long non-coding RNA, 6547 nt
Organism: Orcinus orca (killer whale)
Lineage: Eukaryota; Metazoa; Chordata; Mammalia; Artiodactyla; Delphinidae
Exons: 2
Source: RefSeq, a predicted model, not a curated record